CAGCAGCCGCGGUAAUACCAGCCCCGCUAGUGGUCGGGACGAUUAUUGGGCUUAAAGCGUCCGUAGCCGGGUUGGGAAGUCCUCCGGGAAAUCUGGCCGCUUAACGGUCAGAAUGCCGGAGGAUACUCCCAGCCUAGGGAGCGGGAGAGGCCGAGGGUAUUCCCGGAGUAGGGGUGAAAUCCUAUAAUCCCGGGAGGACCACCUGUGGCGAAGGCGCUCGGCUGGAACGCGUCCGACGGUGAGGGACGAAGGCCAGGGGAGCAAACCGGAUUAGAUACCCGGGUAGUCCUGGCUGUAAACGAUGCGGACUUUGUGUCGGACAAGCUAUGAGCUUGUCCGGUGCCGGAGGGAAACCGUUAAGUCCGCCGCCUGGGGAGUACGGCCGCAAGGCUGAAACUUAAAGGAAUUGGCGGG
This 414-nucleotide ribosomal RNA is filed under the name uncultured microorganism. Its description in RNAcentral is "bacterial SSU rRNA". It matches the Rfam family "Archaeal small subunit ribosomal RNA", at positions 459 to 872 of the family's 1478-position model. The record is from RNAcentral.